UGGGGACUAUUGGACAAUGGGCGCAAGCCUGAUCCAGCCAUGCCGCGUGAGUGAUGAAGGCCCUAGGGUUGUAAAGCUUCUUCACCGGUGAAGAUAACGACGGUAACAGGAGAAGAAGCCCCGGCUAACUUCGUGCCAGCAGCCGCGGUAAUACGAAGGGGGCUAGCGUUGUUCGGAUUUACUGGGCGUAAAGCGCACGUAGGCGGACUUUUAAGUCAGGGGUGAAAUCACGGGGCUCCACCCCGGAACUGCCUUUGAUACUGGAGGUCUUGAGUAUGGUAGAAGUGAGUGGAAGUCCGAGUGUAGAGGUGAAAUUCGUAGAUAGUCGGAGGAACACCAGUGGCGAAGGCGGCUCACUGCACCAUUACUGUCGCUGCGGUGAGAAAGCGUGGGGGGCAAACAGG
Molecule: ribosomal RNA, 404 nt
Filed under: Actinomycetes bacterium
Lineage: Bacteria; Bacillati; Actinomycetota; Actinomycetes
Description: Actinobacteria bacterium partial 16S ribosomal RNA
Rfam family: Bacterial small subunit ribosomal RNA
Source: RNAcentral